Molecule: ribosomal RNA, 492 nt
Filed under: uncultured bacterium
Lineage: Bacteria
Description: partial 16S ribosomal RNA
Rfam family: Bacterial small subunit ribosomal RNA
Source: RNAcentral
AUUGAACGCUGGCGGCAUGCUUUACACAUGCAAGUCGAACGGUAACAGGCCUUCGGGUGCUGACGAGUGGCGCACGGGUGAGUAAUGCAUCGGAACGUGCCCAGAGGUGGGGGAUAACGAAGCGAAAGAUGUGCGAAUAACGCAUGUGAUGUGAGGAUGAAAGAGGGGGACGGAGGAGCAAUGUUUGGCCUCGCGCCUCUGGAGCGGCCGAUGUCGGAUGAGGGAGGUGGUGGGGUAAAGGCCUACCAAGCCGACGAUCUGGAGCGGGUCUGUGAGGACGACCAGCCACACUGAGACUGACCCACCGCCCUGACUCCUACGGGCGGCAGCGGUGGGGACUUUUGGACAAUGGGCGCAAGCUUGCUCCAGCAAUGCCGCGUGCGGGCAGAAGGCCUUCGGGUUGUAAACCGCUUUUGUACUGAACGAAAAGGUUCUGGCUAAUACCUGGUGUUGAUGACGGUACCGUAAGAAUAAGCACCGGCUAACUACGUG